Molecule: ribosomal RNA, 433 nt
Filed under: uncultured bacterium
Lineage: Bacteria
Description: partial 16S ribosomal RNA
Rfam family: Bacterial small subunit ribosomal RNA
Source: RNAcentral
AACGAACGCUGGCGGCAGGCCUAACACAUGCAAGUCGAGCGAGCAUUUCGGUGCUAGCGGCGGACGGGUGAGUAACGCGUGGGAACGUGCCCUUUUCUGCGGAAUAGUCCUGGGAAACUUGGGGUAAUACCGCAUACGCCCUUUCGGGGAAAGAUUUAUCGGAGAAGGAUCGGCCCGCGUUGGAUUAGGUAGUUGGUUGGGUAAUGGCCCACCAAGCCGACGAUCCAUAGCUGGUUUGUGAGGAUGAUCAGCCACACUGGGACUGAGACACGGCCCAGACUCCUACGGGAGGCAGCAGUGGGGAAUCUUAGACAAUGGGGGCAACCCUGAUCUAGCCAUGCCGCGUGAGUGAUGAAGGCCUUAGGGUUGUAAAGCUCUUUCAGCUGGGAAGAUAAUGACGGUACCAGCAGAAGAAGCCCCGGCUAACUCCGUG